Oryctolagus cuniculus (rabbit) is the source of this 163-nucleotide non-coding RNA. Ensembl annotates it as small Cajal body-specific RNA 16. Its record names the gene SCARNA16. Lineage: Eukaryota; Metazoa; Chordata; Mammalia; Lagomorpha; Leporidae. The record is from Ensembl.
GCGGUCUGGGGAAAGGCUCCUGUGUGGCUGCGCCCCGUACCAGGCAGCCCGACCCUGACCUACAGUAAGCGCCCAGGGGCCGCCCCCCGGUGCGGACGUUGCAGUAACAGGUGUGAGCACCCUAGCAGCAGUUUGGUGAUCAUGUAUGAUACUGCACACAGGC